Molecule: ribosomal RNA, 102 nt
Filed under: uncultured bacterium
Lineage: Bacteria
Description: partial 16S ribosomal RNA
Rfam family: Bacterial small subunit ribosomal RNA
Source: RNAcentral
UACACACCGCCCGUCACACCAUGGGAGGCGGGUUCUGCCAGAAGUAGUUAGCCUAACCGCAAGGAGGGCGAUUACCACGGCAGGGUUCGUGACUGGGGUNGG